RNAcentral lists this ribosomal RNA (446 nucleotides) under uncultured bacterium. Its description in RNAcentral is "partial 16S ribosomal RNA". It matches the Rfam family "Bacterial small subunit ribosomal RNA", at positions 338 to 795 of the family's 1533-position model. The record is from RNAcentral.
CCUACGGGUGGCAGCAGUCGAGAAUCAUUCACAAUGGGGGAAACCCUGAUGGUGCGACGCCGCGUGGGGGAAUGAAGGUCUUCGGAUUGUAAACCCCUGUCAUGUGGGAGCAAAUUAAAAAGAUAGUACCACAAGAGGAAGAGACGGCUAACUCUGUGCCAGCAGCCGCGGUAAUACAGAGGUCUCAAGCGUUGUUCGGAAUCACUGGGCGUAAAGCGUGCGUAGGCUGUUGCGUAAGUCGUGUGUGAAAGGCGCGGGCUCAACCCGCGGACGGCACAUGAUACUGCGAGACUAGAGUAAGGGAGGGGGAACCGGAAUUCUCUGUGUAGCAGUGAAAUGCGUAGAUAUCGAGAGGAACACUCGUGGCGAAGGCGGGUUCCUGGACAUUAACUGACGCUGAGGCACGAAGGCCAGGGGAGCGAAAGGGAUUAGAUACCCCUGUAGUC